RNAcentral lists this ribosomal RNA (120 nucleotides) under uncultured bacterium. Its description in RNAcentral is "partial 16S ribosomal RNA". It matches the Rfam family "Bacterial small subunit ribosomal RNA", at positions 32 to 147 of the family's 1533-position model. The record is from RNAcentral.
AAUCAACGCUGGCGGCGUGCCUAACACAUGCAAGUCGAACGCGAAAGCCCCGCAAGGGGUCAGUAGAGUGGCAAACGGGUGAGUAACACGUGGGUGAUCUGCCUCAGAGUGGGGGAUAAC